CCGGGAUUUCGGGGAUGACACGGGGGCCAGUGGCCCUGUCUGGUGUGAACCGUCAGCACAGAUGGCCUCCUGGAGCUUCCCCGAGUCGUUCGCUGGGGGAAGCGGGCGGUGAGCGGCCGGCCCGGGCGCUCCGCAGGCCGCGAGCUCCUGGCAGGGCUGGUGGCGGGGGUCCGCCUGGGGGAGGAAUCCCCGCCUGCUCCAUCGGACCCGGCCUGGCGCGGCUCGCGGCGCUCGGCGGGCUCCCUUCCAUUCUAGAAUCUUCCCGCUUGCUUCCCAGCCCGCGUUCUUCCGCCUGCCUUUAAUUGUGUAAGUUUGACGAAGUCAGAGCUUUGGGUUCCAGGAAAAGCGCAGGAGAGUCAUAGAGGAAGGGAGGGCGCAGGUUGGAGUCAGGUCCAAACAGCCCCUAUCGCCACUUUUGGAAAAAAAAAAAAAAACCCUUAAGGUUGGUUUUAUUUUGCCUUUUGGUAGCGGGCGUAUUCAUUUGGAUUUUUUUUUCAAGACAGGCAAAUAAAAGAUGUUUGAAAUCUCUAGUUAUCCCGUUUAACACACCCAUCGAUGGCGCUUUUCUAGUUAAGCUACGGGGGAAACGUCUUUAUCCCACAGUUAGGCUGCGAACUUGUGCCGAUGCUCAGGCUUUGUGGAGACGCUCCGGCAUCUGGCGCAGAGGCGCCCGGCGGGGAAAAGUUUGCAGCCCGGGCUUUGGGGCGCGCGGGGGGCAGGAAUUUUUCUGAGAAAAGAGGGGCAUAGAGAGGCGGCGAGGGUGGGGAGAGAAAAAAGGAACGCAGCGGGGAGGGGGAAAAGCAGCUUGCAGGAUGGGAGUUUCUUGCAGAAUUUACAGGACUAAGGAGUUUGGGGAAGUCGCAGAGCCGCAGCGGAAAGGCAGGGGUCUGAGACUACUUUUGAGAAGAGAAACAACGCAAAACGAUCGCUGGAGGGCCAGAGCCCUGAUCGAAGGUGCCCUAGCUUUUAUGACCUGGUUAAUUGUGUCUCCUUUUUAUUUUAAUUUUUUUCCUUACCACCACUACUACUACUACUACUUUUAUUUUUUUUUUUAACCGACACACUUUGGAGAGAAGAAGCAGACACAGGUUCCCACGGCGUCUGACGCCUGCGGAGCAAGUCCAGAGCCAGCUGGACUCGCAGCCUCUGGCCCGGCGGCACCAACUCCAUACUGGGUCAUUUUGAGCGCGCUGUGCCCACCUUUUCUGUUGCGUGUGGACGUGGGGAGGAUCUUCUAAGUCCCUCCAACGAAGGCAAGUGUGAGACUCUGGCCCUUUAUUUGUAAGAAGCAAGCCUUCAGAUUGCAGAAGUGUCGCGCGGGUCGCCAUGCGUUGCGCGAGUGGGAAGAUGGAGGAGGCCGGCACGCUGCUUUCGUGGACGCAAGUGAACCGGCCGUGAAGGCAGGGUGCGAGCUCUGCCCUUGGCCCAGCCCUGCGUGGGCGCCGUCCCAGAUUCCGGGCGGUGCGGGGUGCAGAGAUCUGGAGAGAGUUGCGGGGUGCAGAGAUCUGGAGAGACUUGCGGGCUCCCCAGCGCAGGCUGCUCUGGGAUUUCGUUGGAAGAUCCGGCAGAGCCUUGGAGGAGAGGGCCCGGGAGGCUGUGUGUGCAGCGGAAACUUGUACGAAUGCCCCCACAGCGGAAAUGGUGCGCACGAGUAAUUUCUGCGGUGCACCCUUUUAAAAAUUGACAAGUGAACAAGAUCAAUUUUUUAAGAAAGCAAAGGUAGAAAACAAAAGGCGUGCGACUUCUUGACUGGCUUGUUCCCGCCUUUCUUCCUUCUCUAUACUCAGAUCAGAAACUUUAAUUGCUCUUAUUCAGUGCGACAACUUUUAAUAAAAGCAUUUGCAUUUUAAGCCUGAGUUGCAACCAUAGAUUUGUUGCGAAGUGACAACGUGUCUAUGGAAUAUUUUCGCAGAUGAGACAGGACAUGCGCUCUAGUCGUGCCCAGAUUAAAGGGACGCUGGUCCAUGUGCCUGUGUAGUGCAGACUCGGAGGGGCACACACAUACUCGUCAUCACAUGACCACUGUCUAUUAAUAUUGUCAUACCUAAACACUCGCAAAAACAAAAGUUGCUUUUCUU
RNAcentral lists this long non-coding RNA (2078 nucleotides) under Pan troglodytes (chimpanzee). Its description in RNAcentral is "long non-coding RNA NONPTRT007849". Lineage: Eukaryota; Metazoa; Chordata; Mammalia; Primates; Hominidae. The record is from RNAcentral.